GGGCGGUUAGCUCAGCGGUAGAGCACUGUCUUCACACGGCAGGGGUCGCAGGUUCGAACCCUGCACCGCCCACCA
This 75-nucleotide transfer RNA is filed under the name Burkholderiales bacterium. RNAcentral describes it as "tRNA-Val". It matches the Rfam family "tRNA". Rfam says of the family: Transfer RNA (tRNA) molecules are approximately 80 nucleotides in length. The record is from RNAcentral. Lineage: Bacteria; Pseudomonadati; Pseudomonadota; Betaproteobacteria; Burkholderiales.